CACGAUAGGUCAUGAUUUCUGGAAUGAUUCAUGGCUCAAACCUACAUGGCCCCUGGAUUGGACUGCGGCCGAUCAGGCUGUUGGUGAGGUAAUGGCCCACCAAACCUGUCACCGGUACGGGCUCUGAGAGGAGGAGCCCGGAGAUGGGCACUGAGACAAGGGCCCAGGCCCUAUGGGGCGCAGCAGGCGCGAAACCUCUGCAAUAGGCGAAAGCCUGACAGGGUUACUCUGAGUGAUUUCCGCUAAGGGAAUCUUUUGGCACCUCUAAAAAUGGUGCAGAAUAAGGGGUGGGCAAGUCUGGUGUCAGCCGCCGCGGUAAUACCAGCACCCCGAGUGGUCGGGACGAUUAUUGGGCCUAAAGCAUCCGUAGCCGGUCCUACAAGUCUUCCGUUAAAUCCAGCUGCUUAACAGAUGGGCCGCGGGAGAUACUACAGGGCUAGGAGGCGGGAGAGGCAAGCGGUACUUUAUGGGUAGGGGUAAAAUCCGCUGAUCCAUAGAAGACCACCAGUGGCGAAGGCGGCUUGCCAGAACGCACUCGACGGUGAGGGAUGAAAGCUGGGGGAGCAAACCGGAUUAGAUACCCGGGUAGUCCCAGCUGUAAACGAUGCAGACUCGGUG
Molecule: ribosomal RNA, 618 nt
Filed under: uncultured archaeon
Lineage: Archaea
Description: bacterial SSU rRNA
Rfam family: Archaeal small subunit ribosomal RNA
Source: RNAcentral